This is a long non-coding RNA of Diabrotica virgifera virgifera (western corn rootworm), 589 nucleotides long. RefSeq lists it as uncharacterized. The transcript is spliced from 2 exons. The record is from RefSeq and is a predicted model, not a curated record. Lineage: Eukaryota; Metazoa; Arthropoda; Insecta; Coleoptera; Chrysomelidae.
UUAGUCGUCAGUGUUUGUCAAGAUGGCGUGAUAUGUUCAUGUUCAUAUAGAUGGAUGUUGGAUUUAUUGGUCUACUUUAAAAAUUAACGGAUAUUUUGAAGGUACGUACAUAUAUAGGUAUUAAAUAAAAGUAAAUUGGGUAAUUUAAGAUGUAAUAAUAAUAUUGUUGCGUAUCCGAAUGGUUAAAAAAGAAACAUAAUAGUAUCUUUAUAUGCUUUUUAGGUAUAAUGAUGGACGACUCUGAAAUAAAGGAGCUUAUUAUUCUAACUGGGAAAUAUGCCACAAUUUAAAGCUGGGACAGAAUGAUAUAAUAUAUAGCUUCAGAACAAUAUUAAGAAAGGAGUUAUUAACCAACUGUGGGGCCUUCCAGAAAUGGUAGAACUUCAUACAUGUAGUGAAUUGCUGAUAUACAAAGUGCUAUUAACAAAAGAAGGAACAUUUGAGGAAGUUGGAUUUGCCUCUCCAUCCUUUUAUUGUUGUGUAGAAGAUGGUAGAAGCCAGUGGUUUAAGAGUGGAGAAAAUAUUUGUAUGUAAUAAUAACGUUUUAUAUCUUGUUUUAUUAAUAAAUAAUGAUUUUACCUUAACACAA